GACGAACGCUGGCGGCGCGCUUAACACAUGCAAGUCGAACGGAAAGGCCUGCUUUCCCUUGUGGAUUGCGGGUACUCGAGUGGCGAACGGGUGAGUAACACGUGAGUGAUCUGCCCCCAACUUGGGUAUAAGCCUGGGAAACUGGGUCUAAUUCCCGAUAGGACUGCAGGGUGGUGCCUGUGGUGGAAAACGAUUUUCUAGUGGUUGGGGAUGAGCUCGCGGCCUAUCAGCUUGUUGGUGGGGGAAUGGCCUACCAGGGCGGGGACGGGUAGCCGGCCGGAGGGGGUGGACGGCCAGAGUGGGACUGGGAUCCGGCCCAGUCUGCUACGGGCGGCAGCAGUGGGGGAGAGUGCAGGAGGGACGGUAGCCUGAUGCGGCGACGCCGGGUGGGGGAUGACGGCCUUCGGGUUGUAAGCUCCUUUCGAGCGCGAGGAAGCCACCUGGUGGGAAGGGUGGUGACGGUAGUGGUAGAAGAAGCCCCGGCUAACUACGUGC
Molecule: ribosomal RNA, 495 nt
Filed under: uncultured bacterium
Lineage: Bacteria
Description: partial 16S ribosomal RNA
Rfam family: Bacterial small subunit ribosomal RNA
Source: RNAcentral